UUUUUUUUUAAUGUUGUCAAACAUAUCUUAUUUAUACUAAUAAGCUUAACCUAAAGUUCCUUCAGCUGACCUAGGGUUUAAUUGGGCUUAAAAGUGUAAUGAAAUGCCCAAAAAUUAAUUAUCAGUCUUUACAAAAUUUCAUUCCCGGAACAGUACGUCUAGCCAUUUUCUGACGUGAUUUGCUCUAUCUUCGAGGCAGAACUGGGCAAAGUAAUCUUCAUCAAGGUUGUAACUCUGUCUCUUAGCGUUCCACUGAUCCAAGAAUCACAUCAUUUGGAGUUCUGUAACUCGAGAUAUAGCCAAAAUACUAAAACAUACGCAAGCAGAUUCU
This 331-nucleotide long non-coding RNA is filed under the name Theobroma cacao (cacao). RNAcentral's name for it is "long non-coding RNA (TCAC_LNC006171)". The record is from RNAcentral. Lineage: Eukaryota; Viridiplantae; Streptophyta; Magnoliopsida; Malvales; Malvaceae.